GGGCGUCCGCGGCUCCGGAUGGCUGCUCGUUGGCGUUGGGGCGUGGGCGCGCGCCGAGGCGAGGGCGUCCUCAGAGGAAGCGGGGUCUCUGGGGCAGCCCUGGGAGCAGCUCGCCUGAGAAACGCCUCCGUGAUGCACCAGGUUGCUCUGUAUACUUAUGGGAAUCCCUGCAGUCAUCUCGGAAACGCAGAUAUUGUUAGACUGAAGAUGCCAGCUUUGGCCUUACCGGCAACAAGAGUUUUCCCUAAUUCCGACAAAGAAUGGACGGGACACAUGGGGAAGGUGGCUGCCUGGAAAUGGCCACACAGACUGAUCGCAAUGCCUAAGGAAAACAAGCUAAUCAGAAGCAUUCUCUGAAUUCCAGUCUCCAAACUCUUAACUUUUCUUGUUAUUUCCUGUCAUGGGACAAGCACUUGCGGAGGAAAAGGUGAUUUCUGGAUUGUCUCCAUCCUUCUGCAGCCAUCUGCAAUCCUGCCUGCAUUCUGCAGUCGUCUGCAGACAGCUCUGGAGUACGUAGUUUUGUUAGAAUUGUGCUCUACCAGAGGAUCAGAGUUUCAGGGAUUAAGAAAAGCCCUGUGCAGAACUUGCUUGAGGGGUGUGAGUGGCUGUGGCAGGCCUGCCCGGGACUGCUAAAGCCACUGCUGUAGCAUAGGAGAAAGACAGAGCAGGAAGGUGCAUAACGUUUGUGGAUGACAGCCUUGGAGUGUGAGCAGAAAUAGCCCUUGGGAUGGUUGCUUAAGCUCCUUUUUCUCUGCCAGAACCUCCUCCUUGCCUUUUGUGUGCCUUGCUGUUUCCCUCCUUGUCCAUUGUUUUUCACUUUGUGUGCUGGUGGCCUGAAGCGGAGUAGUUCUGACAUGCGUCUGAGUUUAAGGACCUGCUUCUAAAUUAUCAGCUUGCCAAGCAGACAAUCUCUUCUCUGACUUUCUUCGUCGUGGUGGAUUGUCUGUCCGUCUUGUGACAUUUGUUUAUUUUCAGAGUCCUUUGGUUCCGUAGGCUUUGCUUGAUGAUGCAGUCAUCUCCUGCAUUGCUAACAGUCUGCUUUAUUUUCUUUGGGAUUCAGGUUUUAAAUCUCUGUGGUAAAACCCCAGCCAUUGCUUUCUUCGAAGCAUUCCCAGACCCCAUCUGAUUCUGCUUGUAUGUGUAUUCCUAAGCAACAGCCACCGUCACCAUCAGCUGUGCCACGAAGAUCAUUCUGCCUUUGCACUGUGUUCCCAUGAGCCUAAUACCAAAAGGUAGAAUCACAAACUUAAAUCAGAAGGGUUCAUUAUUACCACCUAGUCCUUCCAGUCUAACAGAGGGCACAAAGCUUCUUCUGCGAGUCUUGAACUGAGUCUCAUGACGUGUGGCUGAACUGGAGGAUUGCUCGGAUAUGUCUUUCCACCUACCAGCAGAGCAAAUUCUGGAUCAGGUCAGCACCCUGGUAUCAUAUUUCCUUAGGUACCAAAAUACUUAACACUUUAAAGGCAGACAAAAUCCGUAAGUGACAGAACACUUCAAAUGCAAGAUUUUACGCGGGGUGUUGACGCUAACUCUUUUGGAUUCUGCCGUUAGCGAUCUCCUACCAAGAAACAGGAAUGGAAAAGCAUUAUUCUUUCAAGAGUCUGAACGCACACUAUGAACAUUGCAAUUUUAGCCUCUGCUUAGGCUUUCUUAAAACAUAUAACUUGCUUGCAGUGUAGUUCUUUGCACUUUAAUUCAGCGAUGUGUGCAAAGAAUAAAUUCUUCCCAAGUACAAGCA
Long non-coding RNA from Struthio camelus australis, 1738 nucleotides. The record is from Ensembl. NCBI's taxonomy places the organism in Eukaryota, Metazoa, Chordata, Aves, Struthioniformes, Struthionidae.